CCUGCUCCGGCUGCGGCUCGCGCUGUCCCCGGCUUGGCCGCGCGGGAUGCCGCCCGGGCGGAGCGCUGACGUCACCGCCAUGCUCUGCACCAGUUCUUCCCCCUCCCCUUUACACUUCCUCUGUGGAGCCCACUUGUUGCUCAGGCAAGGCGCAUGCGCGGCAGGACGCCCAGAUUCCUCCCAGCCGGCCCCUCCUCCGCGCCUCCGCCCUCCCCUCCCCCCUCGCCGUGUGUGUACAACAGCUGAGGCCCGGCGAGCUAAUGCUGGAAGUCCAGAGCUGGGGGUGGAAAUUAAACAGACGAUGACCUUUCCUUUCCCUGCCGGGCAUUCCCAAGUAAAAACGCAUUUAAGAACCACUAGCGUCGUUUCCGAUCCCUGCUCCCCACCCCACCCCCAAGCCUCGGCAGUGAAUUUAAAUGUCCUGUUUCAGGAUUUUUCGCCGUGAAUUUCGUAUAAGGAACCCGGGCUUCAACGAUAGAGCUAAAUGAAUUCAGAGUGCGCUACCCUUCCCCCCAGCCGCACUUUAAAAAUUUUGGCUGAACGUCUGAAGAAGAUACGAGCACCCCGAGGCCUUUAAGGAAAACAGGCAACUGGCUGCGCACAGCUGCAGUUCAGGGCAGGGAGGGGGAGGGGCCGGAGAGGCCAAACAGGUUGGUCAGCGGGUCAUGGCAAGCAGGAGACACAAUGCUAAUGACUCCGGCUCCACGUGGCGACCAUUCAGGAAAAAGCUGCAAUGUUCUCUCUGCCACAUUAAUCAGAGAAACACAUCAAGAGUUGUUGCGUGGAGACAGCUUUCCUCCCAGUACUCGCCCUGCAUACUAAUCACCACCCCCUCCUGGCGGUGAGUCAGCUCCAAACCAGGCCGGUGGUGGUAAGGGAAGGCCAGAAACACCAGCUCCAUCCACGUGGGGAGCAGCUGGAGGAGCGGGAGCCAGGCCCUCCACCGCCCAACAUGCACUGUGUGUGACCAUCAUGGAGGCCUGAGAUGCGGUUUCACUCUGUUGCCCAGGCUAGAGUGCACUAAUACAAUCAUAGCUUACUGCACCCUCAACCUCCUGGGCUCAAGCAAUCCUCCUGCCUCAGCCUCAUGAGUAGCUGGGACUACAGGCACCACUGUGGACCCCUGCUCUGCACCCCCAGGAGGAGUGGGACUGCUUCAAGGGCAGCCUGGAGGAAAGAGGUGUGGUGUGAACACAUACAACAUGUUCCUUAACCAGGAAGGCGACUGGAGUCUUUACCUGGUUUCAAAGCAGCCAAGCCUAGAGGCCCCCACCCCUUGUUCUUUAUUAUGAUUGCCCUUUGACCCCAACCCCCCAAUUCUUUCCUCUCCAGAUCCCCAGCCAUGCAUACUCCAACUUGGUUCUGCAAAGAAUACCCAGCCACAGCUGUGAACUUGGGGAAACACAUUUUUUCUUUUUCUUUUCUUUUCUUUUUUUUUUUUUUUUGAGAGGGAGUCUCACUCUGUUGCCCAGGCUGAGGUACAGUGGCGUGAUCUUGACUCACUGCAACCUCCACCUCCCAGGUUCAAGCAAUUCUUCUGCCUAAGCCUCCUGAGUAGCUAGGACUACAGGCAUGUGCCACCACCCCCAGCUAAUUUUUGUAUUUUUAGUAGAGAUGGGGUUUCACCAUGCUGGCCAGGCUGGGCUUGAACUCCUGGCCUCAAGCAGUCCUCUCACCUUGCCUCCCAAGGUGCUAGGAUUAUAGGCUUGAGCCACCAUGCAUGUGCACGGCCAGCACAUUCAUUUUCUAUACAUAACUGUCUCCCAGCUCUUCAGGCCAACUUACCUGAUAAUGAUAAAAAUAACUAAGCUGCCAUGGAUUGGGCAGUGUGCCAAGUGCUCCAUGUAUAUUACCUUACUUAGUUUUCACAAACUCUAUGAGGUAGGUACCACUAUUAUUUACAGGUGAGGAAAUGGAGGCUCAGAGAGGUUAAGUGAAUUGAUCCAGGCCACACAGCUGGUAAGCGCCAGAGCCACUAGUGGACGCCAGGUCCAGCCAGCCCCCAGAGCCCAUGUGCUGAGCCACUGUGCUAUACUGACUCCCACUUAAUUCUCUCUUCUGGGUUGUCCCAAAGACCAAGUUCGGCUGGCCAAUUUUCCAGGACCAUCUCUCAUGGCACCUGGAGGCUUGUAGGUUCCUGGAGGACUCUCACACCUCCUUCCCACCCUUCUCCAGAUUCUCCAACUCCCUCUUGAGCAGACCCGGCCCCACUCUGGGGCACCCUGCCUUCCUGGGACCUGUCGUAACAGUCACCCACUCUGCCAGGGCCUGGCUGACCCAGGCUGGGGACCGUGGGACCCCUCUGGGCAGUGCCCCCCUACCUGGGCCCAGGUGGGUAUGGAUUUCUUUCUUCUGGGCCAUUGCACCCGCCAGAAGGUGCGGUGGGAGAGGCAGGCCCACAUUUCAGAGGGCCUUGCUGCCCCCAUGUGGCAUGAGGCUGUAGCGGCUGCAGCCUCCUCUUCCCUCCCUCCUGCCACUGCUCCCGAAGCCAAGGCUUUUGCAGGGUUGAAAAGGAAGAGAAAGAGGAGAAGCAGGAAUGUGAGAGAAAUGAGGCAGAGGGAUGGGCUAGGGAAGAGAGAAGCCCUUCUGCGUUACCUGGAAAUGCAGCAACAAUAAUAACAAAGCCAAUGUUAGGAAUGUUUAAAGGCAGCUGCCACAUAGCACUUUUUAUAGCUUGUAGACUCUCUCAUUUAAUCCUGGCACUUACAUCAAUCUGAUUAGUAGCUAUUAUUAGUUUUAUAGGUGAUGAUCCAAGGCGCAAUUAUUUGUUCCCCAGCUAGUAGGUGACAGAGCCCAGAUUGAAUCUGACUCCAGAACCCUAACCACGAUAUUCCCCUGUCUAGAAGGAGCCAGUUCUCUCCUGCAACCCCCACUGCUCAGCCUCUAGGAGUUCCAGCCACCAGCCACCUGCACCCUCCCUUCCAUGUGGCUUUGCCCUCUGUUCUUCUCCUCUCCACUCUCUCUCCAAGGUCCAAGUGGUCAAGGUCAUCCCAAGGGUCUGCUGGGACCGUGUGUCCUUAUUCUGUGCCUUGCUGGUCGCCAACCUUCCCCAUCUGCCAAGGACUGAUGUCCAGCCCAGGCCCAGGUGCAGGUGCCCAGGUCAUUUUUGCCACUGAGUAAAGGGAGACAGAAUGACAGGGUAAAUUACCAACCACCAGAACACCAUGGAGCCAAUAGCAUCAAUGCAAGUGAAGUAUAUUUAUCUGUUGGCCUGAAAACAUGUCCUAGUAUAUUGUCCCAUUAAGCAAAAAGCAGGUUAUAAAGCUGUGUACAUUAA
This 3277-nucleotide long non-coding RNA is filed under the name Homo sapiens (human). RNAcentral's name for it is "HSALNT0213464". Lineage: Eukaryota; Metazoa; Chordata; Mammalia; Primates; Hominidae. The record is from RNAcentral.